UUAAUGAGAGUUUGAUCCUGGCUCAGGACGAACGCUGGCGGCGUGCCUAAUACAUGCAAGUAGAACGCUGAGGACUGGUGCUUGCACCGGUCCAAGGAGUUGCGAACGGGUGAGUAACGCGUAGGUAACCUACCUCAUAGCGGGGGAUAACUAUUGGAAACGAUAGCUAAUACCGCAUAAAAGUGUUUAACCCAUGUUAAACAUUUAAAAGGUGCAACUGCAUCACUAUGAGAUGGACCUGCGUUGUAUUAGCUAGUUGGUGAGGUAACGGCUCACCAAGGCGACGAUACAUAGCCGACCUGAGAGGGUGAUCGGCCACACUGGGACUGAGACACGGCCCAGACUCCUACGGGAGGCAGCAGUAGGGAAUCUUCGGCAAUGGACGGAAGUCUGACCGAGCAACGCCGCGUGAGUGAAGAAGGUUUUCGGAUCGUAAAGCUCUGUUGUUAGAGAAGAAUGAUGGUGGGAGUGGAAAAUCCACCAUGUGACGGUAACUAACCAGAAAGGGACGGCUAACUACGUGCCAGC
Molecule: ribosomal RNA, 528 nt
Filed under: Escherichia coli
Lineage: Bacteria; Pseudomonadati; Pseudomonadota; Gammaproteobacteria; Enterobacterales; Enterobacteriaceae
Description: bacterial SSU rRNA
Rfam family: Bacterial small subunit ribosomal RNA
Source: RNAcentral